RNAcentral lists this unclassified non-coding RNA (1061 nucleotides) under Hevea brasiliensis (rubber tree). The record is from RNAcentral. Lineage: Eukaryota; Viridiplantae; Streptophyta; Magnoliopsida; Malpighiales; Euphorbiaceae.
GCAACCUACAAAGAUGAAUAAUUGUAACAGAGUAAUUACCUGUGAUCUAAUCUACAGUUAAAGGACAUGAACUAACAUAUUUGGACACCUUGUUUUCACAUGGACAAGUGAGAAAAACUAUCAAAACUUUAAUAAUUGAGGGGUUACACGAGCAUGUGGCAAACUUACAAUAUUAGAAAUAUAUAUUUAACCAUGAAUAAAUUUGCUUGCUUAGGGAUGAAAAAUGGAUAGUGAAGCAAGCAUAAAAGUCAUUUUCUCAAGAACAUGCUCAAGAUAAUACAGUAUACCACCCUGGAUCAUCACAAAUGAAGGAAAAUACUCACAUGAUCAUCCAUAAAAGUGUCAUACAAGAAUGGGUAUGAGUCUUUAAGUGCUCAACACUACAGUAUUCCAAUUGAAGGUUUCAAAGAAACCUCAAUGCAUAUUGCAUGCACAUAAUAAAUAUGCAUAUCCACAUAAGCAGGAAGAAAAAUUUUAGCAAUAUAAUGAAAAUCCAUAAAUUUUAAAUUACAUCAAGGUGGAAGAAAAUAAUAGCUCACAGCAUCUUCACAUUCAAAUUCAGAUUAUAUAACCAUCUGGUGCCACUUUCCAGAAAUCAACCUAAAUUCUCAGCUCUUAGGGAAGAUUAAAUCAUAUAAUGAGUAAAAGUGUUGAAAAAGAAAAACACAAAUCCAGACAAUUCUGGGCUGAUAAGAGCACAACCAAACAUCAAGGGCCUAAGAGGAGUCCAAUCUUGGGGUCCACCCAAGAAACCAUGGUUCUACAAUAGUGCAGAUCAGCCUCAGUCCAGCUAAAAAAUAGCAGAGGACUUGGACCAUCAGUAAGUACCUUAACAAAUCAUGAAGUCUAAAACCAUAUCAUUAACCUAAACAGUCACCAUUGUAAACCUAAAUGCAGGGAGAAGUAUCAGAUACCUAUACAAAUCUGCACUGCACUGACGAAUUCAAUCUGUCAGUAAGUUAAACUCACUUAUUAGAUUGAAUGCAUUAGAAAUCCAAAAAUGCAUACUUAUAUAACUAUAAGAGUAUCACUGCUACGCAUUUACUUACCUACGAAUUAUG